GCUGGGCACAGUGGUGCGUGCCUGUAGUCUCAGCUACUCAGGAGGCUGAGGCAGGAGGAUUACUUGAGCCCAGGAGUUGGAGGCUGCAGUGAGCUAUGAUUGCACCACUGCACAUCCUGGGCAACAGAGUGAGACCCUGUCUCAA
Molecule: unclassified non-coding RNA, 145 nt
Organism: Pongo abelii (Sumatran orangutan)
Lineage: Eukaryota; Metazoa; Chordata; Mammalia; Primates; Hominidae
Rfam family: Metazoan signal recognition particle RNA
About the family: The signal recognition particle (SRP) is a universally conserved ribonucleoprotein.
Source: Ensembl